CAAGAUAAAAGGAAACAGAGCGCCACAAUCACUAUAUAGGUGAUAUAAUAGGGUUAAAAGAAAAUAAAUAAAUUGACAAAGAAAAAAAUAUAAGGAUAAAAAAUAACAGAAAAAUGUAUUAAUUAUAGAAUAUCAAUAUUGACAGCACAGAACAUGUGCAAUAUAAAAUGCCACAAUAGGCUAAAGAAGACCCUUAGGUACAGCAGUUAAAAAACAAUAAAGUACUGGAUGUGCAAAGUGCAAGUGCCUAUGUGCAAAUGUAC
Non-coding RNA from Pelobates cultripes (western spadefoot toad), 263 nucleotides. NCBI's taxonomy places the organism in Eukaryota, Metazoa, Chordata, Amphibia, Anura, Pelobatidae. The record is from the annotation of a GenBank genome assembly.